GCGGCGGGCGGCGGGCGGCGGGCGGGGGUCCCCGGGGCGGGGGCGGGGGCGGGGGGGGCGGGCUCCCGGGGCCCCGGGGGGCGAGGCGCGGCGCGGCGCCCCCUUUACCUGCGGCUCCGGCUCCUCGGCCAUUUCCUCGCUCGGCGGCGGCCGGGACUGAACUGACACCACACGAGCGAGCCGAGAUGCUGCCUGCCACACACAGCCUUCUCAGAUCUCAUAACAAAACAAAACAAAACAAAAAGCCCUCCUAAUUUGCUACAUUUAACAUUUAUUGGGAUCAUCUUUGGAGACUUAGCCUUCAUUAGAAGAACAAUGCGAUAUGAUCCUCCUAUUUCACAAGUUAUUUUAUGUUACUGUGGAACUCUUACAAGAAAGACAGUUUGGAAACUGCACGUAAAUCCCUGGAGCUGAAAUGGAGCCAACAUAGAUACUCGACUUAAAAAGAAUUCAGUGUUCAGGGCAGGAAAACCCGAAAACUGCAAGUGAGGAGUCAGCAGGAAAAGAAAAUGAAAAAGUUAGGCAAACCUGCCAGCUCUUGCUAACUACAAAGGACAUUUGAGAAGGAAACGGGGACAGCCCUUUUAACACGACUGAAUGCAUUAAAUUAAGUGGGGAUCACCAACAAGUCCAGGGAAUGCUACACUCCUCUC
This 653-nucleotide long non-coding RNA is filed under the name Canis lupus dingo (dingo). Its description in RNAcentral is "lncRNA (ENSCAFG00020021897.1)". Lineage: Eukaryota; Metazoa; Chordata; Mammalia; Carnivora; Canidae. The record is from RNAcentral.